CCUACGGGUGGCAGCAGUGGGGAAUAUUGCGCAAUGGGCGAAAGCCUGACGCAGCGACGCCGCGUGAGGGAUGAAGGUUUUCGGAUCGUAAACCUCUGUCAGCAGGGAAGAACGGUCACUGUGCUAAUCAGCAGUGAAUUCACGGUAACUGCAAACGAAGCACCGGCUAAAUCCGUGCCAGCCGCCGCGGUCAUACGGAGGGUGCGAGCGGUAAUCGGAGUUACUGGGCGUAAAGAGCGCGUAGGCGGUAUGUCACGUCUAUGGUGAAAUGCCCGGGCUCAACGUGGGAACUGCCUUUGAAACUGGAAAACUGGAGUGUAUGAGAGGAUAGUGGAAUUCCAGGUGUAGGAGUGAAAUGCGUAGAUAUCUGGAGGAACAUCAGUGGCGAAGGCGACUAUCUGGCACAUAACUGACGCUGAGGAGCGAAAGCGUGGGUAGCAAACAGGAUUAGAUACCCUUGUAGUC
Molecule: ribosomal RNA, 465 nt
Filed under: uncultured bacterium
Lineage: Bacteria
Description: partial 16S ribosomal RNA
Rfam family: Bacterial small subunit ribosomal RNA
Source: RNAcentral